AGCAAUACGGGAGUGGCGCACGGGUGAGUAACACGUGGGAAUAUGCCCAGCAGUGGGGGAUAACCGAGGGAAACUUCGGCUAAUACCGCAUGCGCCCCUAGGGGGAAAGAUUUAUCGCUGUUGGAUUAGCCCGCGUCCGAUUAGCUAGUUGGUGUGGUAACGGCGCACCAAGGCGACGAUCGGUAGCUGGUCUGAGAGGAUGAUCAGCCACACUGGGACUGAGACACGGCCCAGACUCCUACGGGAGGCAGCAGUGGGGAAUAUUGGACAAUGGGGGCAACCCUGAUCCAGCCAUGCCGCGUGAGUGAAGAAGGCCUUAGGGUUGUAAAGCUCUUUCGGCGGGGACGAUGAUGACGGUACCCGCAGAAGAAGCCCCGGCUAACUCCGUGCCAGCAGCCGCGGUAAUACGGAGGGGGCUAGCGUUGUUCGGAAUUACUGGGCGUAAAGCGCGCGCAGGCGGCUAUUCUAG
RNAcentral lists this ribosomal RNA (469 nucleotides) under uncultured Magnetospirillum sp. RNAcentral describes it as "bacterial SSU rRNA". It matches the Rfam family "Bacterial small subunit ribosomal RNA", at positions 83 to 587 of the family's 1533-position model. The record is from RNAcentral. Lineage: Bacteria; Pseudomonadati; Pseudomonadota; Alphaproteobacteria; Rhodospirillales; Rhodospirillaceae.